CGAACGGCAGCACGGGGGCAACCCUGGUGGCGAGUGGCGAACGGGUGAGUAAUACAUCGGAACGUGUCCUGUAGUGGGGGAUAGCCCGGCGAAAGCCGGAUUAAUACCGCAUACGCUCUACGGAGGAAAGGGGGGGAUCUUAGGACCUCCCGCUACAGGGGCGGCCGAUGGCAGAUUAGCUAGUUGGUGGGGUAAAGGCCUACCAAGGCGACGAUCUGUAGCUGGUCUGAGAGGACGACCAGCCACACUGGGACUGAGACACGGCCCAGACUCCUACGGGAGGCAGCAGUGGGGAAUUUUGGACAAUGGGCGAAAGCCUGAUCCAGCAAUGCCGCGUGUGUGAAGAAGGCCUUCGGGUUGUAAAGCACUUUUGUCCGGAAAGAAAACGCCGUGGUUAAUACCCGUGGCGGAUGACGGUACCGGAAGAAUAAGCACCGGCUAACUACGUGCCAGCAGCCGCGGUAAUACGUAGGGUGCAAGCGUUAAUCGGAAUUACUGGGCGUAAAGCGUGCGCAGGCGGUCCGCUAAGACAGAUGUGAA
Molecule: ribosomal RNA, 540 nt
Filed under: bacterium C60I_10
Lineage: Bacteria
Also listed under: 7 other names
Description: bacterial SSU rRNA
Rfam family: Bacterial small subunit ribosomal RNA
Source: RNAcentral